CCUGACGGCAAAGGCAAGGUCACAGGAGUGAAAUGAAUUGGAAAGGAUUCGUCCAUGUUCUUCGCUUCUGCCCUUGCCCUUUUGGCAUCAGCAACAUAAGCUCCAAAGAGUAUUCAGCAUCAGAAUCAUAAACAAUCUAAUGGCCAGCAAAACUAGAUAAGUUUGAAAAAUGAAUCCAUCGGGGGUUGCUAUACAUGUACUCAUUCAUUCAGUUAAUGUUAACUUCUCAGAAACGCCUUCUCUGACGUCUAUUUAAACUUACCUCCUCUUUAUUUCCUGCUCCAUAGUCUUGCAACACUUAUCAUUGUCUGAAAUUUAUCUUUUUGUUUCCUCCACCAGAAUGUAAACCCCGUGAAUCCAGGAGCCGGGACAGCCUUUGUUCCUUGUUAUUUUUAAAAAGAAGACGAAGAAUAAAAGACACACAGGAACAGAUGUUCUUUCACUGGGUGUUGUUGGAUCUGGUGGUUGCCUGGGUCUGCUACAGCUGUACAACUAACAGAGCAGAGUUCACUUUGAGGACAAAGUUGGCACCGAAGGUGACAGAGAUGGAAGAUGAUAAGGCCUGAAUCUUUGAUGAUGCCAGUGAGCUGCUAAAUAAAUUAAGCAGUCUUGGAGCUGCCCUA
Molecule: long non-coding RNA, 623 nt
Organism: Lagenorhynchus albirostris (white-beaked dolphin)
Lineage: Eukaryota; Metazoa; Chordata; Mammalia; Artiodactyla; Delphinidae
Exons: 2
Source: RefSeq, a predicted model, not a curated record